CUUUCAAUUGAUUUUUCUUCAAUUCUCUAAUUUGGUAUUGGUUUUCUAUUCUAAUAGCUUAAAUUACUGAUAUGAGGAUAAGGUUGUUUGGGUUCUUGUAAGAUUACAUCCAAAAUUAUUUCAUGAUGGUGGGAGUUUCUUAAUUAGAUAAGAGACUUGAUAGUUCUCAUCUGAUGUCGAGCCCCCUCUAUGAAUCUCUUGGAUCAAAUUUUGGAAAUGAUGGAUUUGAUCAUUAAUAGGGAUAUUGUCUACCAUCUUAAAGUUGCUAAGUCACUAAUGAUAAAUCUCAUGGCCUCCUCAUUAUCUCUACUGUAGGUAUCUUUUAGCACAAUCUA
This 335-nucleotide long non-coding RNA is filed under the name Elaeis guineensis (African oil palm). RNAcentral's name for it is "long non-coding RNA (EGUI_LNC009213)". Lineage: Eukaryota; Viridiplantae; Streptophyta; Magnoliopsida; Arecales; Arecaceae. The record is from RNAcentral.